This 256-nucleotide ribosomal RNA is filed under the name uncultured bacterium. RNAcentral describes it as "partial 16S ribosomal RNA". It matches the Rfam family "Bacterial small subunit ribosomal RNA", at positions 335 to 578 of the family's 1533-position model. The record is from RNAcentral.
ACUCCUACGGGAGGCAGCAGUGGGGGAAUAUUGCACAAUGGGCGCAAGCCUGAUGCAGCCAUGCCGCGUGUAUGAAGAAGGCCUUCGGGUUGUAAAGUACUUUCAGCANUGAGGAAGGGUGGAGUCGUUAAUAGCGGCCUCAUUUGACGUUAGCAUGCAGAAGAAGCACCGGCUAACUCCGUGCCAGCAGCCGGCGGUAAUACGGAGGGGUGCGAGCGUUAAUCGGAAUUACUGGGCGUAAAGCGCAUGCAGGUGG